Molecule: long non-coding RNA, 876 nt
Filed under: Mus musculus (house mouse)
Lineage: Eukaryota; Metazoa; Chordata; Mammalia; Rodentia; Muridae
Description: predicted gene, 31138, transcript variant 2 (Gm31138)
Source: RNAcentral
ACACCGAGGCCCCGCCUCCCACGUGCGGGCGCUCCUCUCCUAGAGCUCACUGGUCUUUCCAGAAGUCCUCAAGUUUCAUGCGACCAGCAGUGAACUUUACUGGGUAGGGGUGGGAAGCCGGUGGCUCCGGACAGUCGUGAUAACCCGGCACAGAAGCAGAGUCGCAUUUCGGAGCGUCCACUCGUAACGCGGCUUCUCGCACACGGAGCCCGUAGUCCAGGGGAGAGGAGGCCAGGGAGGCCCUGGAGAGGUUGUAGGUUCUUUCAUCAUUUCCUUCCCAGCAUGCACUUGUACAUGCUGUACACUCCACUCUCUUCAUUACCACAACAGGACUACAAAAUCUUUAGAGGAUGAACAGCCAAACAAGGUGACUUACCGCCUGCCAGGAGAGCUUAUUAAAGGAUUUCAUUUCUUGGGCAUCCAGGUUGGGACAUCUUCUGGAUAUAUGCCCAGGAGAGGUGUUGCUGGAUCCUCCAGUAGUACUAUGUCCAAUUUUCUGAAGAACCGCCAGACUGAUUUCCAGAGUGGUUGUACAAGCUUGCAAUCCCACCAACAAUUUAGGAGCGUUCCUCUUUCUCCACACCCUCGCCAGCAUCUACUGUCACCUGAAUUUUUGAUCUUAGCCAUUCUGAAUGGUGUGAGGUGUAAUCUCAGGGUUGUUUUGAUUUGCAUUUCCCUGAUGACUAAGGAUGUUGAACAUUUUUUCAGGUGCUUCUCUGCCAUUCAAUAUUCCUCAGGUGAGAAUUCUUUGUUCAGUUCUGAUCACCAUUUUUAGUGGGGUUAUUUGAUUUUAUGGAGUCCACCUUCUUGAGUUCUUUAUAUAUAUUGGAUAUUAGUCCCCUAUCCGAUUUGGAAUAAGUAAAGAUCCUUUCCCAA